RNAcentral lists this long non-coding RNA (1230 nucleotides) under Pogona vitticeps (central bearded dragon). RNAcentral's name for it is "lncRNA (ENSPVIG00000002894.1)". Lineage: Eukaryota; Metazoa; Chordata; Lepidosauria; Squamata; Agamidae. The record is from RNAcentral.
UACCUUCCUGUCCUUCAUCCUUGGCAGGAAAAUGUCCUGGGUCAACUUUAGGUCCUGCCUUCCAGAACCACAUUUGGCUUCCCACAUUAACACUGGGUUAUUUAUUUAUUUUACUAUUUUUUUCCUUCAUUCUACCAAUACCUCUUCAAAAGGCACCCUUAAAUUUGCAUUCAAUAUAAAGAAAUGCCGCUCUGACAAAGAGUGAGCAGCCUUUCCUAUGUGUGGUGAAAGACUUUAUGGAGCCACGUGAGUCUCUUUGGAUCCUGGUAACUGCAAAUGUAAAGAACUCGCCCAAGAGGGUGAGGUGGUAGGUUUUGGUCUUGCCUGAGCCAUCUUCAGACAACACAUGAGCUUUUUCUUCCAGAAAAAAAACCAGUUUGUAAAAACUAUCUUUUCAGAGACCUUCCGAUUGUAUGGUAGAGAAAAAGAGGGGCUGUAGUACUGACACAAAGAAAAGUAUACAUGAAAAUAGAAAGUCAACGUUCAAACUUUAUUUCAAUUUAGUUCCACCUAAUCUGAUUAUGUCUUGCUACUUUUGCAAAACAGAUUAUGUGUUUUACGUAAGUGCUGAGUGCUGACUCACCAUUCAACAACUGAUUCAAUGGAAAUGCUCUGUUUGGGACCAGCAGAGGAACUGAGGCCUUAUCCUUUCAUAUUUCUAAACUCGUUUGCCUGCAAUUAUGCUAAAUGAUUCUGGGUUUUAAAAAGACAAAUAGAAAAUUGCAUGGUUUGUUUUUAUUCAUGUUCAGAGGUUAUCAGAGCAAUUAUUGGGACAGAGAAGGAAGGGAAAUGCUCCUUUGGAAAGCACCUCCACCCCCAAGCAAAUACAGCAGAAGAAAGCUUCGUUGUCCGGGUACCUGUACAAGCCCCCUCCUCUUUACUCACAGAGAUGGAAAUCUAUAGUAACCCAUGGUCCAUGGAAUAACCUCCCCCAUGACUGUGGGGGUUGCAUGUGAACUAUAGCCUAAAAAGCACACUGUGUCAUGUGAUAGCCUUCUAUUAACGUACUGUAGCUAUUUUUAAAGAAAACUUAGUAUUGCAUUCAAUUAUUAUUAACUAAGUAGACCUAUUCUUUCAUAACUCCCAUUCUUUCAAUGGAUCUACUCCAGUUGAGAUGAAUAAUUUGACUUAGUCCUCAAUGUUUUAUGUAUGUAUGUAUGUAUGUAUGUAUGUAUGUAUGUAUGUAUGUAUGUAUGUAUGUAUGUAUGUAUGUAUGUAUGUAUGUAUGUA